GGAGAGAUGCCAGAGCGGUCGAAUGGGCUUCCCUGCUAAGGAAGUGUGCCCUUACGGGUACCGAGGGUUCGAAUCCCUCUCUCUCCGCCA
Molecule: transfer RNA, 90 nt
Filed under: Minisyncoccota bacterium
Lineage: Bacteria; Bacillati; Minisyncoccota
Description: tRNA-Ser
Rfam family: tRNA
About the family: Transfer RNA (tRNA) molecules are approximately 80 nucleotides in length. Their secondary structure includes four short double-helical elements and three loops (D, anti-codon, and T loops). Further hydrogen bonds mediate the characteristic L-shaped molecular structure. tRNAs have two regions of fundamental functional importance: the anti-codon, which is responsible for specific mRNA codon recognition, and the 3' end, to which the tRNAs corresponding amino acid is attached (by aminoacyl-tRNA synthetases). tRNAs cope with the degeneracy of the genetic code in two manners: having more than one tRNA (with a specific anti-codon) for a particular amino acid; and 'wobble' base-pairing, i.e. permitting non-standard base-pairing at the 3rd anti-codon position.
Source: RNAcentral